This 75-nucleotide transfer RNA is filed under the name Planctomycetaceae bacterium. RNAcentral describes it as "tRNA-Leu". The stretch from base 7 to 69 matches the Rfam family "tRNA", at positions 5 to 66 of the family's 71-position model. Rfam says of the family: Transfer RNA (tRNA) molecules are approximately 80 nucleotides in length. Their secondary structure includes four short double-helical elements and three loops (D, anti-codon, and T loops). Further hydrogen bonds mediate the characteristic L-shaped molecular structure. tRNAs have two regions of fundamental functional importance: the anti-codon, which is responsible for specific mRNA codon recognition, and the 3' end, to which the tRNAs corresponding amino acid is attached (by aminoacyl-tRNA synthetases). tRNAs cope with the degeneracy of the genetic code in two manners: having more than one tRNA (with a specific anti-codon) for a particular amino acid; and 'wobble' base-pairing, i.e. permitting non-standard base-pairing at the 3rd anti-codon position. The record is from RNAcentral. Lineage: Bacteria; Pseudomonadati; Planctomycetota; Planctomycetia; Planctomycetales; Planctomycetaceae.
GACAAUGGAUAGCUCAGCGGUAGAGCAUCAGAUUCAGGAUCUGACUGUUGCGGGUUCGAUUCCCGCUCCCGGUCG